RNAcentral lists this ribosomal RNA (453 nucleotides) under Streptococcus sp. oral taxon 064. RNAcentral describes it as "bacterial SSU rRNA". It matches the Rfam family "Bacterial small subunit ribosomal RNA", at positions 28 to 469 of the family's 1533-position model. The record is from RNAcentral. Lineage: Bacteria; Bacillati; Bacillota; Bacilli; Lactobacillales; Streptococcaceae.
GACGAACGCUGGCGGCGUGCCUAAUACAUGCAAGUAGAACGCUGAAGGAGGAGCUUGCUCUUCUGGAUGAGUUGCGAACGGGUGAGUAACGCGUAGGUAACCUGCCUGGUAGCGGGGGAUAACUAUUGGAAACGAUAGCUUAUACCGCAUAACAACAGUUGUUGCAUGACUGCUGUUUAAAAGAUGCAAUUGCAUCACUACCAGAUGGACCUGCGUUGUAUUAGCUAGUUGGUGAGGUAACGGCUCACCAAGGCAACGAUACAUAGCCGACCUGAGAGGGUGAUCGGCCACACUGGGACUGAGACACGGCCCAGACUCCUACGGGAGGCAGCAGUAGGGAAUCUUCGGCAAUGGACGGAAGUCUGACCGAGCAACGCCGCGUGAGUGAAGAAGGUUUUCGGAUCGUAAAGCUCUGUGUAAGAGAAGAACGAGUGUGAGAGUGAAAGUUCACAC